RNAcentral lists this ribosomal RNA (2480 nucleotides) under Escherichia coli. Its description in RNAcentral is "23S ribosomal RNA". It matches the Rfam family "Bacterial large subunit ribosomal RNA". The record is from RNAcentral. Lineage: Bacteria; Pseudomonadati; Pseudomonadota; Gammaproteobacteria; Enterobacterales; Enterobacteriaceae.
GGUUAAGCGACUAAGCGUACACGGUGGAUGCCCUGGCAGUCAGAGGCGAUGAAGGACGUGCUAAUCUGCGAUAAGCGUCGGUAAGGUGAUAUGAACCGUUAUAACCGGCGAUUUCCGAAUGGGGAAACCCAGUGUGAUUCGUCACACUAUCAUUAACUGAAUCCAUAGGUUAAUGAGGCGAACCGGGGGAACUGAAACAUCUAAGUACCCCGAGGAAAAGAAAUCAACCGAGAUUCCCCCAGUAGCGGCGAGCGAACGGGGAGCAGCCCAGAGCCUGAAUCAGUGUGUGUGUUAGUGGAAGCGUCUGGAAAGGCGCGCGAUACAGGGUGACAGCCCCGUACACAAAAAUGCACAUGCUGUGAGCUCGAUGAGUAGGGCGGGACACGUGGUAUCCUGUCUGAAUAUGGGGGGACCAUCCUCCAAGGCUAAAUACUCCUGACUGACCGAUAGUGAACCAGUACCGUGAGGGAAAGGCGAAAAGAACCCCGGCGAGGGGAGUGAAAAAGAACCUGAAACCGUGUACGUACAAGCAGUGGGAGCACAGAGCAAUCUGUGUGACUGCGUACCUUUUGUAUAAUGGGUCAGCGACUUAUAUUCUGUAGCAAGGUUAACCGAAUAGGGGAGCCGAAGGGAAACCGAGUCUUAACUGGGCGUUAAGUUGCAGGGUAUAGACCCGAAACCCGGUGAUCUAGCCAUGGGCAGGUUGAAGGUUGGGUAACACUAACUGGAGGACCGAACCGACUAAUGUUGAAAAAUUAGCGGAUGACUUGUGGCUGGGGGUGAAAGGCCAAUCAAACCGGGAGAUAGCUGGUUCUCCCCGAAAGCUAUUUAGGUAGCGCCUCGUGAAUUCAUCUCCGGGGGUAGAGCACUGUUUCGGCAAGGGGGUCAUCCCGACUUACCAACCCGAUGCAAACUGCGAAUACCGGAGAAUGUUAUCACGGGAGACACACGGCGGGUGCUAACGUCCGUCGUGAAGAGGGAAACAACCCAGACCGCCAGCUAAGGUCCCAAAGUCAUGGUUAAGUGGGAAACGAUGUGGGAAGGCCCAGACAGCCAGGAUGUUGGCUUAGAAGCAGCCAUCAUUUAAAGAAAGCGUAAUAGCUCACUGGUCGAGUCGGCCUGCGCGGAAGAUGUAACGGGGCUAAACCAUGCACCGAAGCUGCGGCAGCGACGCUUAUGCGUUGUUGGGUAGGGGAGCGUUCUGUAAGCCUGCNNNNNNNNNNNNNNNNNNNNNNNNNNNNNNNNNNNNNNNNNNNNNNNNNNNNNNNNNNNNNNNNNNNNNNNNNNNNNNNNNNNNNNGUCCCUCGCGGGUGGAGCUGAAAUCAGUCGAAGAUACCAGCUGGCUGCAACUGUUUAUUAAAAACACAGCACUGUGCAAACACGAAAGUGGACGUAUACGGUGUGACGCCUGCCCGGUGCCGGAAGGUUAAUUGAUGGGGUUAGCGCAAGCGAAGCUCUUGAUCGAAGCCCCGGUAAACGGCGGCCGUAACUAUAACGGUCCUAAGGUAGCGAAAUUCCUUGUCGGGUAAGUUCCGACCUGCACGAAUGGCGUAAUGAUGGCCAGGCUGUCUCCACCCGAGACUCAGUGAAAUUGAACUCGCUGUGAAGAUGCAGUGUACCCGCGGCAAGACGGAAAGACCCCGUGAACCUUUACUAUAGCUUGACACUGAACAUUGAGCCUUGAUGUGUAGGAUAGGUGGGAGGCUUUGAAGUGUGGACGCCAGUCUGCAUGGAGCCGACCUUGAAAUACCACCCUUUAAUGUUUGAUGUUCUAACGUGGACCCGUAAUCCGGGUUGCGGACAGUGUCUGGUGGGUAGUUUGACUGGGGCGGUCUCCUCCUAAAGAGUAACGGAGGAGCACGAAGGUUGGCUAAUCCUGGUCGGACAUCAGGAGGUUAGUGCAAUGGCAUAAGCCAGCUUGACUGCGAGCGUGACGGCGCGAGCAGGUGCGAAAGCAGGUCAUAGUGAUCCGGUGGUUCUGAAUGGAAGGGCCAUCGCUCAACGGAUAAAAGGUACUCCGGGGAUAACAGGCUGAUACCGCCCAAGAGUUCAUAUCGACGGCGGUGUUUGGCACCUCGAUGUCGGCUCAUCACAUCCUGGGGCUGAAGUAGGUCCCAAGGGUAUGGCUGUUCGCCAUUUAAAGUGGUACGCGAGCUGGGUUUAGAACGUCGUGAGACAGUUCGGUCCCUAUCUGCCGUGGGCGCUGGAGAACUGAGGGGGGCUGCUCCUAGUACGAGAGGACCGGAGUGGACGCAUCACUGGUGUUCGGGUUGUCAUGCCAAUGGCACUGCCCGGUAGCUAAAUGCGGAAGAGAUAAGUGCUGAAAGCAUCUAAGCACGAAACUUGCCCCGAGAUGAGUUCUCCCUGACUCCUUGAGAGUCCUGAAGGAACGUUGAAGACGACGACGUUGAUAGGCCGGGUGUGUAAGCGCAGCGAUGCGUUGAGCUAACCGGUACUAAUGAACCGUGAGGCUUAACCUU